AACGCACGCUGGCGGCAUGCCUAACACAUGCAAGUCGAACGAGACCUUCGGGUCUAGUGGCGCACGGGUGCGUAACGCGUGGGAACCUGCCCUUAGGUUCGGAAUAACUCCCCGAAAGGGGUGCUAAUACCGGAUAAUGUCUUCGGACCAAAGAUUUAUCGCCUUUGGAUGGGCCCGCGUUGGAUUAGCUAGUUGGUAGGGUAAAAGCCUACCAAGGCGACGAUCCAUAGCUGGUCUGAGAGGAUGUUCAGCCACACUGGGACUGAGACACGGCCCAGACUCCUACGGGAGGCAGCAGUGGGGAAUAUUGGACAAUGGGCGAAAGCCUGAUCCAGCAAUGCCGCGUGAGUGAUGAAGGCCUUAGGGUUGUAAAGCUCUUUUACCCGGGAUGAUAAUGACAGUACCGGGAGAAUAAGCUCCGGCUAACUCCGUG
This 433-nucleotide ribosomal RNA is filed under the name uncultured bacterium. RNAcentral describes it as "partial 16S ribosomal RNA". It matches the Rfam family "Bacterial small subunit ribosomal RNA", at positions 29 to 507 of the family's 1533-position model. The record is from RNAcentral.